RNAcentral lists this ribosomal RNA (467 nucleotides) under uncultured bacterium. RNAcentral's name for it is "partial 16S ribosomal RNA". It matches the Rfam family "Bacterial small subunit ribosomal RNA", at positions 28 to 506 of the family's 1533-position model. The record is from RNAcentral.
GACGAACGCUGGCGGCGUGCUUAACACAUGCAAGUCGAACGGAAAGGCCCUGCUUUUGUGGGGUGCUCGAGUGGCGAACAGGUGAGUAACACGUGAGUAACCUGCCCUUGACUUUGGGAUAACUUCAGGAAACUGGGGCUAAUACCGGAUAGGAGCUCCUGCUGCAUGGUGGGGGUGGGAAAGUUUCGGCGGUUGGGGAUGGACUCGCGGCUUAUCCGCUCGUUGGUGGGGUAGGGGAUUAGCAAGGCUUUGACGGGUCGCCGGCCUGAGAGGGUGACCGGUCACAUUCGGACUGAGAUACGGCCCAGACGUCUGCGGGAUGCAGCAGUGGGGAAUAGUGCACAGUGGCCGGAACCCGUGUGCAACAACGCCGCGCGGGUGAUAACGUCCUUUGGGUUGGAAACCGGUUUCGCCUGUUACGAAGCGUGAGUGACUGUAAUGGUUAAGGAAGAACCGCCUACUUCCUU